GAUGAACGCUGGCGGCGUGCCUAAUACAUGCAAGUCGAACGCAUUGUGGUUGAAAUGAUAUGAAGAACUUGUUCAGAUUUGAUUUUCAACAUUGCAAUGAGUGGCGAACGGGUGAGUAACACGUGGGAAACCUACCUCUUAGCAGGGGAUAACAUUUGGAAACAAAUGCUAAUACCGUAUAAUAAUUAAAACCGCAUGGUUUAGUUUAAAGAUGGUCUUGCUAUCACUAAGAGAUGGUCCCGCGGUGUAUUAGUUAGUUGGUGAGGUAAUGGCUCACCAAGACAAUGAUACAUAGCCGAGUUGAGAGACUGACCGGCCACAAUGGGAC
This 328-nucleotide ribosomal RNA is filed under the name uncultured bacterium. RNAcentral describes it as "bacterial SSU rRNA". It matches the Rfam family "Bacterial small subunit ribosomal RNA", at positions 28 to 319 of the family's 1533-position model. The record is from RNAcentral.